This is a long non-coding RNA of Lagopus muta (rock ptarmigan), 8369 nucleotides long. RefSeq lists it as uncharacterized. The record is from RefSeq and is a predicted model, not a curated record. The transcript is spliced from 5 exons. NCBI's taxonomy places the organism in Eukaryota, Metazoa, Chordata, Aves, Galliformes, Phasianidae.
CAAAGAGUUACAUUAAAAAUAAAUGAAACCAAAACCCACCACAGAACCCCGAACAUCACAGUAAUCAUACAAAGCCAACUUUUUAAACAGUGAAGUCAUUUCUUCAGUGUUGUCAAAUUCCUCUAUAAAGACUCUUGAAGGCCAGCUUUUAGUGCAACAGAGCUGGGAAAGUGAGAACACCUACAACAAAAUGGAUUAACCACUUGGCGCUAAUACCUUUGUACAGAUGUUUAGUUUGAUGCAGAGGCCCUGAAGCUGAAAAAUAAUCUUCAGAUGAUGCAUUGGAUUUUGCCAGAGGAAGGUUCUGAGCAUUUACAAAAUAAAGUGCACGUAUCCUGAAGGCUUUGUGGACAAGCCAAAUGACUCCUACUGCUAUGUGGAUUGAGAAAUUGAAAUAAAGAACAACCUGCUCCCUUGAGCAAGAGGAUAUGGGAAAAAAAUGGAAAAGCAAAUCAGAGGUACCAACUCCCAGUAACCAACUCAGUGGCACACAGCGUGUUCUUCAUAUUUCCAUACCUGGAAUUUAAUACCACUAUCAGACUGUUUUUGUAUGGCUGAAAGAAAAUUCAUUCUCAUCUGCAAUAUACUACAGUGUUCUGAAGUUUCAUAAAUAACACACCAUAGUCUUUGUAUGGAACUCUCUGUAUAACAAAUCCAAUUUGAUGUAUCAGUGUAUGAAUAAAAGAAAAAUUGUCCUUUAUUACAGUAACCAACUAUACUGCUUCCUUUCCCAGCAGGCAGUAGACAACAAUCAAUAACCUUAAUUGCAUGGCUACUAAAAGCAGAGAUUUCCUAGUGAGUUACAAUCGGAAUCAACUGGAAAAUCUGGAUGAAAACUUACACUGCUCCUCAGUCCUCUAUUUCUUAAUGGUCCAACAGCAGAUCUCAUCUUUCCUUUGCUAUUCUUAACAUCACUCUUCUAUCCCCAUAAUGGAGAUGCUUGGAGGUUUAGCUAUCAAGUUUUCCCAAUUCUGCAACAUGUGCAGCACGAAUACCAAGGUUGUUCUCAUUUAUAAUAUGAUCUUCCACUAAAAAUUGGUCCAGAGCUCUUUAAAAAGUUUCUAAAUCUUCCAGUUGUUGUUAAUAGCAUUUAAAAGGGGCAUAUUGCAUUAGAAUGUAAGGGGUAUAAGAGGAACAGUGUAUUAAUUUUACAGAAAAAUAUAUAAUUAAUAUAUAUCUAAAUAAAGGGUUAUAACUAUAGUUUUAUAUAUAUGAAUACUCUCUGUAUAAAGUAUACAGUAUAGCAUCUAUAUAUAGCUAUAUAUAUAUGAACUCUUCUAUAGUUAUAACCAUUUGUAUGUAUAAAGGAGGGUAUAUAUAUAUAUAUGUGUAUAGAUAUAGGGACUUCAGAUGAUGUAUUGAGUGGAGCUGGAGUGGGAAGAGAAAUUCUUGGUGGAUCUAAACUGUUUAGUUUAUUACCACACUAGUAAGUGUUUUGCAGAGUAUCCAUGAAAUUGGACACGUAGCAGAGGAAAAAAGUCGUUGACUGUUUCCAUUCCUGACCUGAUCAGGAUGCUAAGGAACUGUGAUUCGCUCCAGGUAUGUAUAGUUCAUUUUGAAAAAUUAGAAACUAGAAUCUGUUUAAAGUCAAAUCUGUUUAAAUUCAAGAUAAUAAGGUCUGUCAAGGAUGGUGUAUGAAAAAUGGAGAAAUAUAAAAGCAGUAAACCUCUCACGUCCCUGAUGCAUUGACAGACAUGGGCGUAAUGCUGAAAUGAAAUACAAUUCUACAUCAUAAUAUAGUAUGGCAGCGUAGUUAUUCAAAUUAGGUGCUUAUGUUUAUCAAAUUAGCAGAGGAAAAAAAAAACUUAAAAAAUAUUCCAGCAUACUGUUUUAUGUAUCUUCUGGAAUUUUUUUGAUUGCAGAUUUAAUAUAUGAUUUCGUAUAUGACUCACCUUUUUUGUGAGUCAAAACUGGUGUGCAAAACAGAAUUGAAUUGCUGAUUCUGCAUCAAAUAGACUGACUGUGGUAUUCAAGUUACUAUAAUACAAUUAAAACCAUCAAAGUAAAACCAUGAUAAAAUUGAGCUUGUGAUAAAAAUCAGUUGUCAAACUAGUUACGUGUCUUGGUAUGGAACUGCACAUAAAAUACUUCGGCAAAAGUAUAGUCUGGUGAGUUUAGAUGCAAAAAUUAAGAAAAAAAGGGGAAAAAAGAAAAAGACCAUAAACCAACAAAAAAGCAGUUAUAAGCCAAGUUCCUUACCUGGAUAGAAUUUGACAUAACUCCACUGAAAAUUAUCGUGUGAUUAUACCUUAGAACAAAUGAAGAUCUGAACAUUCUUCUAGUUCUGUUUUCUCUCUGGUUUGUCAGAGAAGCUAUAUAUCAAAACCAGCUAUAUCUAUAUCUUUCAGUACAUGGUAGUCUCUUCUCUCACUUCAAUGUAUGAUACAUUUUUUUUUUAUCCUCACCAUGUUUUUAUUAUGUAGAUAGAUAAUCAGCUUUCACGGUACCAACAGCAAAACUAAGGCAGAAAGAUAUAGCAACAAAUCUCACUCUGAGAAAUAAGAUAUAUAUAGCAUGCUCAAAAUGUAUGGUAAAAUGAACUGCAGGAUCACCUCCCCAGGUAGGUGGCUGGAUCUAAGUGCCAGCUUUGGUAGUCUGAAGUAGAAAAUGUGCCUUAAUUGAGUUUGUUGCUGUAUCUCUUUUGUUGCCGCAUCUCUUUCCCAUGCUAGGCUCAUCUUGUAUAGCUGCUUUUCUGCCCAAAGCAGCUUGGUGAAGAGCAGACCUGCGCUGGUGCUAUAAUUACAAACUCCUGGUGCUGCCUCCUUAUGCCUCAGAGGUUUAACGCAGCUCAUUAGUGGAGGGCCACAAAGAACUCCAUACCAGGUGUAGGAGGAAAACUCAGAAGGUCCUGACUACUCACUCCAAGCUCAGGCUAUGACAGUCAGUUGCAUCCCCAAGCAAAAAGUGUAUUUCUGACUCAUAGUACUCCAUGUGCUUAUAUGGCCUCACUUCUUCCUGCUUUGUCUCUAAGAAACAGAUUUUGCACACAAGAAUACCAAACUCCAAAUCAUUUACAGUCAAAACAAGACCACAGCAUGCUGCUGUGUCUUGUUCUCAGUCCAACUAUUACCUUGUAGUUCAGCAGCUCUAUGAACUCCCACUCUCAAAACGCUUCCAGCCUCCCAGAAGCGGUGUUCAAGUUUAUUCCUGUGACCUUUUUAAAUAAACAUUUGCUGUUCCUAUGAGACCAACGUUUGAACAGUUUAAUGAGCAUUCACAGUUCUACUUUAAAAUGUUUCAGUAGAGCUCACAAAGGGCAAUGAUGUUGCAUUAUUACUUUUUUUUAGUAAACAUGAUACUGUUCAAAGAUGCCAAAAUGACAACAGCCCAAGAGAGCAGAGAGAUGGUUUUCUUCCUACAAUGAAAUGUAUAGUGAGAUUUAUUAUAGAACAAGUCGCUAUUUCCCCAAUGUCCUUUAGUCCAACACAACUAUCUCUAAGAAUGACUAGAGUCUCUUUUUCUAUCCUUAAUUACUCUCAGGGGUUUUAUGCAGAAAUGGGUUUUAAUAUGGACUAUCAAAUUACUGUGAUGGCUCUCAUGCCUCCUAUGCAGACAUCCGUCAAAUUUCAUUGUGGCCCUCUCUUAUAGGAUGUCAGGGGUGCACCAGCCAAAGAGCAAAAUUUUUGUAGUUCCUGACUAGAACAUCUUUAAAACUCAGGGGAAGGUGCCUUGUAUACUUGUUCUCCUUGAAUGCUGCCUUGGAAGAUGCAGCAAGCCAAUGCAAAACCUCUCUAUGGCAGCUCUUUAUUUCUCAAAGGGCUCUCAACUUCUCUUCAUUGAGGACUGGUUUCUUCAGGAUCCAUGCUUGGCUCUCCUCCAGGCUGGGAUUAUUUGUCAGAGGGGUUGUCAUAUACAUUAGAACCACUGUUCUAACUAAACUAUAGUUGUUCAGCCUUCAUUUACUGAAAAAACUGGUGCAAACAUUUCUCCCAUCUGAUCAAAUCUUUGCUUUCAGACUGCAGAGUACCUUCUAUGUCUGCCCUCCAUUCAUGUGAUUUGUCUGCUCUUCAUUCAGUGAUAUGUAACGCAGAAAGUUUUUCCUCCAACCAUGGAAGACCUUCAGGAAAAAUAUAAAGGUACUGCCAUACAGCUGGAGUGUGACCAAUAUCCACAAGUAGAAUAACAUCUUAUGAUAGAUAAUACAGAAAUUAUUUUCUAUGCACUUAAUAUGUUCUCAGGUGUCUGACACAGCUGCAGAAAUUCAGAUGCAGUCUGUCAGUUUUGCAUUCUUUGUGGCCAAAAUAUUGCUUAGGCUGAACCAGGGUUUUAUAGAGAACAUUAUUUUAAUAUAAGAUGAAUUUGCAGUAGUCCUAGGGAGGAGGGGGAAGAGUUCUUUCUUCAUACUCUGUUUUCAUUUUCUUCUUUUUUUUAUGGGACCCGUUUGUGUAGUUGUUUCUUUUUCACCAUACAUCUGCUUCUAGUGCUUAUUCUUUCACCUGAAAUCAUAAUUUUCUGUGACAUCAAGCUGGUUGUUGCAGAGAAAAUUAUGAUGUGACAUUCAUAAAAUUAUGAGUACAUAUGGUAAAAAAAACAAACAAAACAACAGGAGCAGAACUCCAAAGGAAGAAAGGGCCCACUUCCAUGCUUAAAGUAAUAAAAUGAAAGAAAAUUUAAAAUUUUUGGGGCAAACCCUUUCCUAGCAUAAAGCACACUAUAUGUGCAGAUAUUAGGAAAACCUUAAUUACUUGAAUUAACUGAGAGUUUACUAUUACAUUUUUCUAUUUCAUCAUUUUGAUGGUGAAACUUGUAAUGCAAUGCUGCCAUUCAAUUUUAAUAAUACUUGACUUGGCUUUUUAUUUUGUUUGUGUAUGCUUUUAAAUCAGAGGAUUCUGCACUCUCAGUUCUUUGCAGUCCACAACCCCACUGCAGAACACAGAGCAGCAUUCCAUUAAUUUUAUUUUUUCAAGGAAAGUAAUUUCAUGAAAUUACAUUGCACUGACUGUAUUGUUUGCUGCUUUUUUUCUGCAUCUUCUUUGCACUUGUCUACAAGCAACAGGGCAUGGCAACACUGUACUUUGGUAUUAAUGUUUUAUGACUUGAAUGGUCAAAUUGAUUUGGGAUUGCUCGAUUUGUACUGAAGUUCCUUUCCAUUUAUUUAAUUACUUCAGGAAUUAUAUAAAUGCGAUUACCAGAAGUACUUUUUUAAAAAUUUGCUUGUUGAUUAAAAUCAAUGACUAUAGUCUUAAUUUUUUUCUUUAAUGAAGAAAAAACUCAUCCUCAAUUAGCCAUGCCUGCUGCCAAGAGAAAUACAAAUCUUGUAGUUAGUUAUCUCAAAUUGCCAGCACCUAUCAUCGGUUCUAACUCCAGUUCUAACUCCACCUUCAUUGAGGGUGCCGCCUUAAAAAAUGACUGCUAAAAUAGUAAAGAGGUGAACAAUAAGCUUGAAAUGCAAACAGAAAACUGUAUUUUAAUACAAUGUCUUCAAAGACUGAAAAGGUGUAGCAUCAGUCUUCCUGGAUAAAAUUGCUGCCAGCAUAUGUGCUGGGUAGUGACAACUGAAGCAGUGGUGUAUGGGCCCAGAAGCUGCUACCAGACACAGAAGCCUUGUUCAGCUCAGGUACUGGACUGGCAGAUGAAGGACAAAACAGCUACUAAAAUAAACUGUCAGGUGUUCACUAACACUCACACAACUGCUUUAUUUCAACAAAUCACUUUAAAAAAUGUUCCAACUGAAAACCUAGCGAUAUUUUUGGAAGAUUUAUUAUAUGUUAAAUUUUGAGUGCCCUGUAGGGCAUCAGUGCUAACAAGCCUUCCUCUCCCUUGGCAAGUAUCAUGGAAUUUCAGUCAGGAGUUCGGCUGAACAUUUGAAGGGACAGGCGAAUGUGACAGUAUCACAGUGUCCCUCGUGUAAUGCUGUGGCAAUAGCCAGAGGCAAGCCACACUGAAAUUCUCAAUUGAUUUCCAAAAGCUAUCUUGUUUUUUCCUAUUCCUCUUCUGUCAGGUACAAGAUAAAUCAUCUGUUUCUAAUUUCAGUCAAAAGAACAAACGUAGUUCCACUCAUGAAUUCUGUUAAAAAGCAAGGAAACCAAACAGUAUGAAAAAGCUAAAGUAGCUAAGCCUAAGACAGGCAAGGGGCCUCCUGGCUCAAGUGCAGCAGUUCUCUCUGCCUUCCUUCCCACUUGAAAUGCUCACAGCAGAUUCUUCUGCUGAUUUUCUAACUCCAUGCAACUCCUGAGUAAUUGCACUGCAGCCAAAACAAAUUACUCUAGGUUUAUGAGAGUGUAAGUCACAACUAAAUCCAGCCUAUGGUUUUUACUUAUGUAUUAUAAAAUAAAUAAUGGAAUCCAAUUAUACCAUAACUCAUCAAGCAGUUUUCCUACAAUGGUAGGUGGGCAUUUAUAGCAUCCCAUGCUAUGAACAGAAUAAACCUGCAUGCAUUUAGAUUUAGAUUUCUCAGCUUCAUCUGGCCACGAGCAAGGAUCUGAGUAGACCAAAACCAAAUGCCAAGCAGAGAUUUUCUGCUGGGUGCUGCUGAAAGGAGCUCAGCAUGAAGCUGAGCCUGGCAUUGUGCAGGAGCAGUGCUGACAGCUGAAAGGAGCUGUGGUCCUCCAGCAAAACAGUCAGAGAGGCAAAUUCAAAGUGUGUGACCUACAGGGGUUUGAAAUAAGGCCAAGAGGCAAAAAGCAAAACUGACUAACGAACAAAACAUCACAAAGCACGUUUGCAGAUCUUACUAGGCCCUGAGUAGUGAGGAAACAAGUGCCCUCGGAAAAGCUGUGGAGAGUCUUGGGUUUGGUUGGGUUUGGGGUAGUGCUGCCUUUGCCCAACAGUAUGCAGCUAUAGGGAGCGAGAAGAUCUGGCCUUCUAAAGGGAGCAGCGUUCAGCCUGGUGACUGUAGGAGAUGCUUCAAUUUCAAGGGUUGCAGCUUGAGAAAGACCAGUAGUCUUUUGUUUUAGGAAAUCUUUUACCUCCUUAGCAGAAGGCCGUUCACUGAUUUGACUUUAGGGCAUCAAGGAACAUAAGGUGACUGUAGAACAGCCCACACUCAGGAGGCGAGGUGCUAAGAUGUCAUUGAUAAAUGAACUGGACACCAUCUCAGGUAAGUAACCCCUCUGCAAGGAAGUAGGUACAGUUCUAGAUAGCCUUCUCACACCCACCCUGACUUCUCAGGCUAUUCUGCUGGCUGGACAACUGACAAAAUGAGCAGCAGCCUCAGGAUUAAGGGCGAUGUUGGAAUGUGAAUAAAGCACAAACUUUAAAGACUGUGAAUGAAAUGCAGGAGGGGGAGAAAGUAAAGAACUGGAAAAAGUCUGGUUUGUUUCUCACUUUUAUAGUCCUGGUUCCUGUACUGAUAGAAUACUGAUCUACAUAUUCCAAUAAUCUUCCUGGAAAAAAUAAGGAAAAGGAAAAAAAACAGCAUUGCAGAAAAUAUAGAGGACUCUUCAUACCUGAACUCUUUGAAAGGCAAGAAAAUCAGUCUCAUAUAUUCAUUUUAAAGACAUGAAGAAGAAAGUGCAAAUACAUGAAGGAGGACUUAACGACAAGCAAACGAUACAUGGACAUGCUCUGUGGAAAGCACGACAUCCAAAUGAAGAUCUCCAGCAAUUAUUUCCCUUGACUGAAGAGUCUCCUGAACAUUCGCUUUCCAGCAGUAACUGAGUGAAAUCAGUAGAAAUUCUGAGUGUGAGCAGCUGCUGCAGAAGGCAGUGGGAAUUAUGGAGAUUCAGCAUCCAUCGCCACUCAGAAAUAUGGUGGACAGAAUGGCUGCAAAGUCCCUAGCUAUGCCAGUUGUCUUCACUGAGAAUGAUGAAAGAAGUCCCCAAAAUAAGUAGCCACAUGACCAGAAGAGAAAAGAUUCUGGAAGGAAGAGCAAAGCCCUAGACCAUGAUAGAAGAGUCAUCUGGCUGCAAGGAAGUGCUGGUAUGUUUGCUGUACAUUGGAGAAAAUUAUUUUGUGUCUGCUAACCUUGUGCUGUUAGAAAAUUAUGCAACUUUCAUCAGCAAAAUGAUAAUCUGUGUUAAUUAUGCUAAAUACAUCAUCAUUUUUUCAUACAGUUUCCUUUUAAUUAAGCUUCAGAUUAAGUAUUAGAUUUAGAAGUAUUGGAAAUACCAAAACCAACAGAAAAUUGGAUUAAAGUAUUGGUUAUGCCUAAUAAAUAAGCCCAUAACAAAAGUGAUUCAUCAUUUUCAAAAAAGUGGGCUGAUCUCUGGCUGAAUCUCCCUGAAGAAUAAUUAAAAUGAAAAAAGCACUACUAUUAAAUGCAAAGACUGUUGUUAUCCACAUGACAUCUUUGAUGUGAUAUGAAUGGGACUUAUGGUCUACUGUGAAAAACCUCACGAAUUAUUUUACACCAAGAAAGCCAAAAGGCUGUGAUUUGUAGAAUAACAUGGAGAAGAAACAAAGAUUAUCAGUAGUACCUGGAGUAAGGA